RNAcentral lists this ribosomal RNA (304 nucleotides) under uncultured bacterium. RNAcentral's name for it is "partial 16S ribosomal RNA". It matches the Rfam family "Bacterial small subunit ribosomal RNA", at positions 509 to 807 of the family's 1533-position model. The record is from RNAcentral.
CAGCAGUCGCCGCGGUAAUACAGAGGGUGCGAGCGUUAAUCGGAUUUACUGGGCGUAAAGCGUGCGUAGGCGGCUAAUUGAGUCGGAUGUGAAAUCCCCGAGCUUAACUUGGGAAUUGCAUUCGAUACUGGUUAGCUAGAGUGUGGGAGAGGAUGGUAGAAUUCCAGGUGUAGCGGUGAAAUGCGUAGAGAUCUGGAGGAAUACCGAUGGCGAAGGCAGCCAUCUGGCCUAACACUGACGCUGAGGUACGAAAGCAUGGGGAGCAAACAGGAUUAGAUACCCGUGUAGUCCCUGUCUCUUAUAC